Molecule: ribosomal RNA, 270 nt
Filed under: uncultured archaeon
Lineage: Archaea
Description: partial 16S ribosomal RNA
Rfam family: Archaeal small subunit ribosomal RNA
Source: RNAcentral
CAGCACCUCAAGUGGUCAGGAUGACUAUUGGGCCUAAAGCAUCCGUAGCCGGCGCUGUAAGUUUUCGGUUAAAUCUGUACGCUCAACGUACAGGCUGCCGGGAAUACUGCAGCGCUAGGGAGUGGGAGAGGUAGACGGUACUCGGUAGGAAGGGGUAAAAUCCUUUGAUCUAUUGAUGACCACCUGUGGCGAAGGCGGUCUACCAGAACACGUCCGACGGUGAGGGAUGAAAGCUGGGGGAGCAAACCGGAUUAGAGACCCGAGUAGUCC